GAUUCUGGGCAGUGGAUGACUUGGCUUGUGUGUCUACUAAGAAUGGAGCUAGCAGUAGGAGUUAUUGUGAAUUGCAGGACACAUUGAUCACUGACAUUUUGAACACUCUUCUUAUGCUAAAAUCAGUCUGU
This 131-nucleotide ribosomal RNA is filed under the name Sphenodon punctatus (tuatara). RNAcentral describes it as "5.8S ribosomal RNA (ENSSPUG00000004254.1)". It matches the Rfam family "5.8S ribosomal RNA". From Rfam's summary of the family: 5.8S ribosomal RNA (5.8S rRNA) is a component of the large subunit of the eukaryotic ribosome. It is transcribed by RNA polymerase I as part of the 45S precursor that also contains 18S and 28S rRNA. Functionally, it is thought that 5.8S rRNA may be involved in ribosome translocation. Lineage: Eukaryota; Metazoa; Chordata; Lepidosauria; Sphenodontia; Sphenodontidae. The record is from Rfam by way of RNAcentral.